RNAcentral lists this long non-coding RNA (6118 nucleotides) under Homo sapiens (human). RNAcentral describes it as "HSALNT0377574". Lineage: Eukaryota; Metazoa; Chordata; Mammalia; Primates; Hominidae. The record is from RNAcentral.
CCUCAGGUGAUCCUCCUGCCUCAGUCUCCCAAAGUGCUGGGAUUACAGUUGUGAGCCACCACAUCCAGUGGAGGUCAGUUCUAUUCACCCGAUUAGAUGAGGGCUACCUACAUUAUGGAGGGCAAUCUGCUUUAUUCAAGGCCUACAAAUUUCAAUAUUAGUCUCAUCCAAAAAAUACUCUCAGCAGAAAUAUCCAGAAUAAUGUUUGGCCAAAUGCCUGAGCACUGUGGCCCAGGCAUGUUGCUACAUAAAAUUAUCACAAAAGAUGAGGACUUGUCCUCAGGGACGCCAAGGAUGGGGUUUAAGAUAGAUAAUGGCGAUGGAACAUGAACACUGUCUCGGAGGCCAAGAACUAUGAAGGAAAAGUCCACUGGAUUCUGCAUCUGAGAUUCGCUGGACCACAUUUCUCUUCCUACUAAGUGUAAAAUACUGGUUAAGAGCAAGCAUGGGCUUUGGGGCAAAAAAAUAUUCUGAAGCCCAUCCUGACUCAGCCAUUACUUACUGUGAACCUGCACAAAUUACUUUCCCUCUCUCGACCUCAGUUUUCCAAUCUCUAAAAUAGAAAUAACUGUAUCUAUGAAGAAUUUUUUAAGAAUUAAAUAUUUUGGUGUUUCUACUAUAUGCUAACUGAUAAGUAUAGCUCAUGUUAAUAUUAUCAUCACUAAUAUUCAUAUUAUUUCAUCUUGAUCAUUAUCAUCUUCAUAUGUUCCAUAUUCAGAGGACACAAUUUAGAGUAGAAGGAUUAAAGAGGGAAUGGCUUAAGAAUAAAGGAGGGAUUAAGAAGGGAAUGAGGAAUAAGGAAAAAUGUGUGCCUGUAUUUCAUAGCCGACCUAGCAUUCUACACUGAAACUCAGUUCUGAGUCUAGAACACUUUUAAUUCAUUCUCUCUCCUUUUACAAGCAAGGAAACAUUUUCAACACUAAUACAUUUAUUUCUCCCAAUCUAUAGUUCAACAACACAGUCAGAAGUAUAGAGAAGACUUACUUUCUCUACCCUGCGCUUCUUUCACCAGAUCAGCAUAUUCCUAACUCCCAUGGCUUAGCCUUGAUUGUGAUGCUACUUUCCUAGAAAACUUCUAGUAAGAAUGGGGGUCAUAGUGGACCACAUCACUUCCUUCUCCCAGCAUUGCUGAGGCAAAUGAGGAGGGAGCAGGUUUAGAUCCUCACUACAAAGAGCAGGCAUGGAUUCUACCUCUUAAACAUUUUACUCAGGGUUCCCUGACAAUGAAAACUGCCUUUCAUUUCUUCUUUCAGCCCAUUGGAGUAGAGGUUAAUGACUUUGUCCUAAGAAACAAAAGGCUCACAUGCAAUUAAAAAGAUCUCAGAAACAAGUCAGGCAUGAAGAGUGUUCUAGAAACUCUACAAUUGAAUUUUUUUUCAUUGACAAAUGAUCCCGCCAUCAUUGUAGAUAGGGUAACAUAUCUAAUUCCUAUAAUUCUAUAUCUUUAAAUGAAGCCUGCAGGAAAUGCCUUGAUGGAAAGGAAGAUCAACGGGACUGAAAAUAACGUAUUCCACCUCAUUCCCCCUCUCUGAAUUCAAUUUCUCACCAGGCACUCUGAUAGCUUCCUUCUUCCACCCCUUCCAGAAGCCAAUUCUGAAUUAUCCAACCCUAAAAAAGACUAUGAAGCCAACAGAGUCACCAAACACCUAACUUAGCAAGGGCCCCGAUCUUCUUCUCCAAGCAAACCUCUUCCUCUUUGUAAUUCACCUUUAUGUUCUUCAUCUAGCAGAGAAAGAAAUAAACAGGGAAAGCAGAAAGAAAAGAGGUAGAGAGGGCACUGCAAGGCCCAGAGAGUUCACAAACAAAAGAACCUGCCUUAGUAUUACGAAGCACCAACCACACUUGCUUUAGGCUUAAAUCAGACUUGAUUUGGCUCUUCUGAACAAGCACCAGCAUCUAAAUCACUCACUUGGCAGCAUUAUCUGUGGCCUGUUACGUGACAGACACAAUGCUACACACUGGGGGAUGCCAGUAUGAAGAUAAGAUAUGGUCCUGGAAUAUAACAUUACUCAUGGUGUCACCUUGGGCAAGUUAUUUAAUCUCCCCGUGACUCCGUUUUCUCAUCUGUAAAUGGGGAUAAUAAUAACCUCUACCUCAAAGAUUGUGAUAAGAAUUAAAUGUAUUAUUACAUAUAAAGCACUUAGUGCUAGGGUAGAGAUAUCAUCACAGGAAAAUAGGAUACUUGAGAAUUCCACCUGGACCUUCACACAGACAAUGAUCCUUGGGCUGGGCUUUAUAAAAAAUUGUUUAAGGUUUUAAGAAAAGUGUAAAAGAGAUGGAAAGGUCAUGCUGGAGGACAGGCCAGCAUGAACAACGGCUCAGAGGUGAAAAUACACACAUUUCUUGGAUGGUGAGAGGCUGGAGCGCAAAGGGAGCUGUGAAGGGGAGGCUGCUGGAGCCUCAGGCCUCCUCUCCCAGGCUCUGCAGGGCCUGUGUACCUGGGGGAGGAGCCUGUCCGGAUGAUCUACAGAGCUCCUGCUGCAAGAAGGAAGCAGUCCUUAACUGUGUCCAAGGAAGAGUGGUUCUGGACAAAGAGAGGGAACAUUUCCCAUCUGUUCCUGUGACUUCCCCACUGGUGGGGCAGGAAGGACAGAAGGGAUGUUUGCCCUGAGAUGGGUUCAGUUUAAUUCAAGUUUCCAAUAAUUCUAAUCCUUGACCAAAUUUCUGUGAGUGGAGCCUUCUACUCUAGAAUCUUCCCUCCUUCUGGGCACUGCCUUCACAAACAUGAACUACCAACAGGCUUUCCUCUGCCCUCACUUUCCAGUGUUCCCAGAACUCUGAGGAAGGAGCAGCCCAGGUAAGGCAGAGCUGGAAAGGCCAUGAGGUGCAGAGGUGACCUCAGUAGCCACCGUCUCUGCCCUCUGAUAGGGAGCCAGGCUCUCAGUGGGUGGAGGAGACAGAGAGCAGAGAGAAAGAGGCAGACAGAGACAGAAAAACAGAUGGAGGGAGAGUCUGAGUGUGUUGGCCAUCUUCUGUGCUCCAUCUUACACUGCCAUGGUAACCAAUUUGUAAAGGUGUGACCUGGUGGAAGUAGGAGUGGUUCCUCCCUCACCAUCACUCCUAGUGGCCCCCUGUGGAAUUUGCACUUCUUGUCCCAUGACCUUAUGCUCUGCUGGUUAAGGGCCCCAGGUCCCAAGGGGGAACAUGGUUGGAAUUCUGCUAGAAGACAUGCCUGCUAUCUAUUUCUUUUAGGCUUCUCCUGCCAGUGAAGAAGUAGGCAUGGCAAGGAGUUACGUUGUUGUCAGGGGCAAUCAGCCCUGAUGACCACAAGGAGCCAGGUUGCUGCUCUACAACAUGGGGCAAGAAUGAGUGCCUCUGGAACCCAGAGAUCCCCUGGGGUGUCUCUCAGGGAUUCCUGUGCCCAUGGUAACCAUAAGUGGGCCAUUUGUAUACAACUGUGGCCUGGAAAGGCUCAGACCCAUUGGAGAUGAAAGUUCAAGCCACCCCACAGGGUAGCAGCCUUGACCCACCAAAAUGCUUACUGUGGUGAGGGAAAUGUAGAAACCAAGGUGGAGAAUGACGGAUCUUGAUUGAGGCCUUGGGAUCAGUCAUAAGGUCACAGACCAUGGCAUGUUCCACUAACCCUCAUGUCCUCAGGCUUUUUGUAGAGAUGACAGAUGGCUACACUUUGAAGUCACUGUGGCAAACUUGACUUCAUGGGAGGCAUUACUAGAUCUGAGCAUUGCAAGGGGAAGACAGCAUGGUGUCCUGUCUCAUUUCUUCCUGGACCGCUUUUCUUUCCUGCUGUUGCUGGGCUAACCAGCUUUGCACAGCUUUUCUACCUCAGUUGCAAGCUGUCACCUGAAGUCCUGCUCCAAAGAGAAGAACCGCUCAGAACCACAGUGCUGCCACUGCAGACCCAGGCAUCAUCCCAGGGGCCUGGCCACUCCUAAUGCCAUGCCUUGCCCCACAAAGUCACUCAUCUUGACUGGCGAGGCUGGUUCAGAUGAUCUCAUUUCAGGGACAUUUUCCUGGUUCCCCCUUUCAUUUGUCCCAACUCACUCACAGCUGAGCAUGCAUGGAUUAGGAUAACAACAAUGUUUCUGACAGGAAGUGUAUUACUAGAACACUUUAAGAACUCCUUGUGUAUACACACACACAGGCACACACACACGAGUGAAACCUUUUCCUAAUAUAAAGAUUCAAGGUUUUGUAGUGGCUUUAGUUUGUCCCAUUUUCUGUAGCAAGGUUUUAUACACAUACACACACACACAAACACACGCACACAGCGUCUUAAACAUAAGUUGAUGGAGUGUGAAACUGCACUUCAUUUACUGCAUAAUGGAACACCUUAAUGAUAUUCUUAGAUAUAAUGCCUUUUCUCUGAACCACUUUUCUUUUUAGUAUUUAAUGUAUGUUAUCAUCACAAUUUUCAUCUGUUUUUCAGAAAUACUCUACAAAAUCUAUUUUCCUUGCUGGAAAACUAGACCCAAAGAGCAGGUAUCCCUGUCUAUGUUGUUAGCAAGUAUUUUGAGAUGUCUUUAGGGAUGCAUAACUCCACAGAAUUGAGAAUACAAAGCCAGGAGACAUUAAAAAGAUGUCACAUCUGUAAGGAUACCUCCUGUACUAAGCUUAAAUGAACACUACAGAGGGUCUCAUUCUCAAAAGGCUUUGCUGGUUGUGUAGGACCAAGAAAGUUAUAAAGCUGAAGCCAAUAAUAAAGCAAAUGACCAAGAAACAACUUUUAUAUUAAUCAGGAUUCGUUUUUAAGUUGAAGUGACCAAAAUACAACUCAAACUAACUCAAGCAAAAAAGAAAUAGGUACUGGGGAGAGGGGACAGUAGGGGAACAGGCUCCCACAUACUGAGAUCUGGGAACACAAAGGGAAGUUAUCAGGUCUCUCUCCCUCUCAGCUCUGCUUCUUUCAGUGUGGUGGCCUCAUUCUUUCUAACUGAAGAACGAUCUUUACUGCAGAAAAUUCUAAGCAUUAUUGUGGCAGAUCCAGUAAGUCCCAGAGAAGGAUUCUGAUUGGUCCUGCUUCAGUCACAUGCUUGCAUCUUAGUCCAAUCACUGUGGCCUGGAGGAUGGGACACCAUGAUUUGCAAGACUCUGGUCACAUGCCCACACCUGUGGCUUCUGAAGCAGAGCACCAGCAGUGACAGUCCCACCAGAACCGCAUGGAAUAGAAAACUGUGCAUUUCCCUAAGGAAAGGGAAUGCCAGAGAAGGGCAGAAGGGAAAUCAGGAAGACAAAACGUGUCUUCAUGUUGGAGUGGACCUUUCCUCUAUCUGUCAACAGAAUGGAUAAAUUGUGGAAGAGUAAUAUCAGAAUACUACACAUCAGUAAAAAACAACAAACUUCUGCUACAAACAAUCAACAUCGAUGAAUCUUUCAGGCAAAAGGGUUAAUGCCUACAAUAAGUGUUCUUGAAAUACAGUCACGCGUUGCUUAACCAUGGGGAUAUAUUCUGAUAAAUUCAUCAUUAGGCGAUUUCAUCACUGGGCGAACAUCACAGCUCGUACUCACACAAACCUAGAUGUCAUAGCCUACUACACACCUAGGCUAUAUGAUAUAGGCUAUUGCUAGCAACAAACCUGUACAGCAUGUUACUGUCUUGAAUACUUAGGCAGCAGAGCACAAUGUUAUAGAAACAGAUGAUCAGUGGCCCACGGAUUCCAGGUGAGGAUCUGGGACCCAGACAUCCAGAUAUUGAAAACACAGGGAUGGAGUCUGUAUGGAAAAAAUUAAAAUAUAGCAAAAUGUGAAAUACGGAAGAGAAAUCUUUCAAUUUCCCAAUGGAAGUGAGAAAAGAGCAAAGAAAAGUAUUGGUCUUCCAAAACAAAUAGAGGACGGAGCUGCUGCUGUUGCAUGGUGUCUAGAAACUCAGACAACUUCAUCAUUCCAUAUUUGCAUCCAAGAGAGAGAAAGAAAAACUACAAUCAUUUUCCAUUUACCCAUCAACCCAUCAACCUCCAAAUAAAGGCUAUUAAAAAACAAUCAAAGUGUGAAGAGGGCAGAAAAUGUGAUGAAGAGAUUCUUUGGAGAAAGUAGCUGCCACUGUUACCUUGGGAUCUGCCUAUAGUCCUCACAGAGCUUGCCCUUGCAGGAUAGAACAUAGGAGUCUGGGAGUCUGCAAGAAGAGACAGGGUCUCACUAUGUUGCCCCAGUUGGCCUUGAA